Long non-coding RNA from Drosophila ananassae, 853 nucleotides. RefSeq lists it as uncharacterized. The record is from RefSeq and is a predicted model, not a curated record. Lineage: Eukaryota; Metazoa; Arthropoda; Insecta; Diptera; Drosophilidae. The transcript has 2 exons.
ACCUUGCUAAUACUCAAUAGGAGGCUACGGAUACAAUUUUUUCGAACUAGGGACCCCGUUGUCAACAAAAUAUAUCGGAGGAUUUCCAAUCGGUUGACAAAAUUACUAAAUCAGCAGAAGCAAAAGCAGACCGAUCUCCUACUGGAUAGAAUCUCAUCAGGUUAUUCAAAAAACCAUUCUCUAUUGAAGAUAGCGAGUAAAUUCAAUAAACAGGUGUCCCCAAAGUUUCUUAUCAGGAAAGAUGGCCAGAUCGCCAAGUGAGCUCGCGAAAGUGUUUGCUGACAGCCUGCAAAAUCGAUUUCAGGAGUUUGAGUUUUCUCCAGCUUUCACUAAAUGAGAUUCAGGAUGAAAUACAUAGAUCGCCCCGGACAAAAGUGUCGCCCAAUACGAGCAAUAACGGUUGAGGAAGUUUCGACCCACAUUAAGUCGCUAAAGCCCCAAGUGGUGAUGGACUAGACAACUAUACAUUGACGGUGCUACCCUUCAAAGCUUUCCUCGUCUGGGUGCUCAUUUUAAAUGCCGUGUUGAGGCUAGAAUACUUUCCGAAGCAAUGGAAAAAAGCGAGAAUAUGAUCCAUAUCCAUAAAUCUGAUUCCGCAAGUUACACUGAACAACUGAACAGAGUGGUAAACUUCAUUCUGGAAGGAUUCGAAGCCAAGGAAUAUGUAGUGGCUGCACACCUUGAUAUUAAGCAAGCCUUUGACAGAGUAUGGCAAGUGUGUCCAGUGUACUAUGGAGCAUUUGACCACAUUUGUGGCAUUAAUUAAUAACUUAAAAAGAAACCAACAUUUUUAAAUUUUGUUUUUGGAAUUAAGUUUAUGAUAAUAAAAAGAUUGGAACCGAUUGGAAAAAAA